This 79-nucleotide transfer RNA is filed under the name Rhodoferax ferrireducens. Its description in RNAcentral is "tRNA-Arg". Lineage: Bacteria; Pseudomonadati; Pseudomonadota; Betaproteobacteria; Burkholderiales; Comamonadaceae. The record is from RNAcentral.
GUUGCUGGAACUCGUUGGAACGAGAAAGAAUUGACUACGAACCAAGGGGUAGUGGGUUCAAUUCCUGCCAGCCGCACCA